GACGGGUGAGUAACGCGUGGGUAACCUGCCUUAUACAGGGGGAGUAACAGUUAGAAAUGACUGCUAAUACCGCAUAAGCGCACAGGAUUGCAUGAUCUGGUGUGAAAAACUACCGGUGGUAUAAGAUGGACCCGCGUCUNAUUAGCUUGUUGGUGAGGUAACGGCCCACCAAGGCGACGAUCAGUAGCCGACCUGAGAGGGUGACCGGCCACAUUGGGACUGAGACACGGCCCAAACUCCUACGGGAGGCAGCAUG
Molecule: ribosomal RNA, 256 nt
Filed under: uncultured bacterium
Lineage: Bacteria
Description: partial 16S ribosomal RNA
Rfam family: Bacterial small subunit ribosomal RNA
Source: RNAcentral